RNAcentral lists this ribosomal RNA (623 nucleotides) under Pseudomonas plecoglossicida. Its description in RNAcentral is "bacterial SSU rRNA". It matches the Rfam family "Bacterial small subunit ribosomal RNA", at positions 112 to 730 of the family's 1533-position model. The record is from RNAcentral. Lineage: Bacteria; Pseudomonadati; Pseudomonadota; Gammaproteobacteria; Pseudomonadales; Pseudomonadaceae.
AAUACCUAGGAAUCUGCCUGGUAGUGGGGGACAACGUUUCGAAAGGAACGCUAAUACCGCAUACGUCCUACGGGAGAAAGCAGGGGACCUUCGGGCCUUGCGCUAUCAGAUGAGCCUAGGUCGGAUUAGCUAGUUGGUGAGGUAAUGGCUCACCAAGGCUACGAUCCGUAACUGGUCUGAGAGGAUGAUCAGUCACACUGGAACUGAGACACGGUCCAGACUCCUACGGGAGGCAGCAGUGGGGAAUAUUGGACAAUGGGCGAAAGCCUGAUCCAGCCAUGCCGCGUGUGUGAAGAAGGUCUUCGGAUUGUAAAGCACUUUAAGUUGGGAGGAAGGGCAUUAACCUAAUACGUUAGUGUUUUGACGUUACCGACAGAAUAAGCACCGGCUAACUCUGUGCCAGCAGCCGCGGUAAUACAGAGGGUGCAAGCGUUAAUCGGAAUUACUGGGCGUAAAGCGCGCGUAGGUGGUUCGUUAAGUUGGAUGUGAAAUCCCCGGGCUCAACCUGGGAACUGCAUCCAAAACUGGCGAGCUAGAGUAGGGCAGAGGGUGGUGGAAUUUCCUGUGUAGCGGUGAAAUGCGUAGAUAUAGGAAGGAACACCAGUGGCGAAAGGCGACCACCU